GGGCCAGUGUCAUUCAAAGAUGUGGCUGUGGAUUUCACCCAGGAGGAGUGGUGGCAACUGGACCCUGAUGAGAAGAUAACAUACGGGGGUGUGAUGUUGGAGAACUACAGCCAUCUAGUUUCCUUGGCUUAUGAGGUGGCAACAUCUUGUACUUCGGAGAUUCUGAAGCCGAGCAACUUGCCCAAGUCCUUCUUCUUUUCCCAUUAACAAGAUAUGAUAUCACCAAGCCAAACGUCAUCAUUAAGUUGGAGCAGGGAGAGGAGCUGUGGAUAACGGGAGGUGAAUUUCCAUGUCAACAUAGUCCAGAUCGUGAAGAAGUCAUGCUACCCACGCUGGAAUGAGACGUUUGAAUUUGAGCUGCAGGAGGGGGCCAUGGAGGCGCUGUGCUUGGAGGCCUGGGACUGGGACCUUGUCAGCCGAAACGACUUCCUGGGCAAAGUGGUGAUCGAUGUCCAGAGACUGCGGGUGGCGCAGCAGGAGGAGGGCUGGUUCCGGCUGCAGCCCGACCAGUCCAAGAGCCGGCGGCAUGACGAGGCCCAGGGCAGC
Molecule: long non-coding RNA, 546 nt
Filed under: Pan troglodytes (chimpanzee)
Lineage: Eukaryota; Metazoa; Chordata; Mammalia; Primates; Hominidae
Description: long non-coding RNA NONPTRT015687
Source: RNAcentral